GGCUGGUCUGAUGCAAGUGGGUUAUCAGAACUUAUUAACAUUAGUGUCACUAAAGGUGGUAUACAACCCCCCGCUGCCAAAUUUGACUGGUUAAAA
Molecule: Y RNA, 96 nt
Filed under: Propithecus coquereli (Coquerel's sifaka)
Lineage: Eukaryota; Metazoa; Chordata; Mammalia; Primates; Indriidae
Description: Y RNA (ENSPCOG00000007780.1)
Rfam family: Y RNA
About the family: Y RNAs are components of the Ro ribonucleoprotein particle (Ro RNP), in association with Ro60 and La proteins. The Y RNAs and Ro60 and La proteins are well conserved, but the function of the Ro RNP is not known. In humans the RNA component can be one of four small RNAs -- hY1, hY3, hY4 and hY5.
Source: RNAcentral